UCACAAACUUGCCGCUGUCUCUGGUGCAAGGCAGUGAGAAGCUGCCCUUGCAUUUAUAUGUACUCCUUGCUGUCUGCCUCUUGUCACGUUUCUCUGCCUGGCUGGGACAAAAAGAGCAACCCAGAGCCUUGGAACAAGCUGUGACCCAACGACCAGUACAAGGGAUGUCCGGAGCCGGUGAGGUUUUCCCCAAGUCCAAAGUCAUGAAGAGAACCGCAGGACGUCCCUAUUUACAUCGGAGAAAUGAAUGCGAAAUACUGGCAGUGAGCAAUGGACAAGGCCGUGGCCGUACCUGAGAGAAGGAGCUUUGAAGGGAGACUAC
Molecule: RNA transcript, 322 nt
Organism: Podarcis muralis (Common wall lizard)
Lineage: Eukaryota; Metazoa; Chordata; Lepidosauria; Squamata; Lacertidae
Source: RefSeq, a predicted model, not a curated record